GGGGAUUUAGCUCAGUGGUUCCAGUGCCUGCCUUGCAAGCACAAGGUCCCAAGUUCAAUCCCUGGUAACCCCC
RNAcentral lists this transfer RNA (73 nucleotides) under Heterocephalus glaber (naked mole-rat). It matches the Rfam family "tRNA". From Rfam's summary of the family: Transfer RNA (tRNA) molecules are approximately 80 nucleotides in length. Their secondary structure includes four short double-helical elements and three loops (D, anti-codon, and T loops). The record is from Rfam by way of RNAcentral. Lineage: Eukaryota; Metazoa; Chordata; Mammalia; Rodentia; Bathyergidae.